Molecule: ribosomal RNA, 434 nt
Filed under: uncultured Oscillospiraceae bacterium
Lineage: Bacteria; Bacillati; Bacillota; Clostridia; Eubacteriales; Oscillospiraceae
Description: bacterial SSU rRNA
Rfam family: Bacterial small subunit ribosomal RNA
Source: RNAcentral
ACGGGAGGCAGCAGUCGGGAAUAUUGCGCAAUGGAGGAAACUCUGACGCAGUGACGCCGCGUAUAGGAAGAAGGUUUUCGGAUUGUAAACUAUUGUCGAUAGGGAAGAAAAGGACUGUACCUAUCAAGAAAGCUCCGGCUAACUACGUGCCAGCAGCCGCGGUAAUACGUAGGGAGCAAGCGUUAUCCGGAUUUAUUGGGUGUAAAGGGUGCGUAGACGGGAAAUUAAGUUAGUUGUGAAAUCCCUCGGCUCAACUGAGGAACUGCAACUAAAACUGGUUUUCUUGAGUGCAGGAGAGGAAAGUGGAAUUCCUAGUGUAGCGGUGAAAUGCGUAGAUAUUAGGAGGAACACCGGUGGCGAAGGCGACUUUCUGGACAGAAACUGACGUUGAGGCACGAAAGUGUGGGGAGCAAACAGGAUUAGAUACCCUGGUA